UACUACUUUUCUUUCCUUCAAUUCUCUUUACUUUCAUUUUCUUUCCUUCUAUUUUCAUUCCUAAACCACACAUAGUCUAAAUCUUAUGUCAACCAUAAUCAUUUUAGCAAUAAAAGCGCAAAUUCAAAAUCAUCAUUUAUAUUAUUUUGUAACUAAUACAAUCUAAACUAAAUUUCAAAGGUUGAUUUAAGCAACUGAAUCAGAAACUAAGACUGGUACUCAGUGAUUCAAAAUGCGAUUUGCAGCAGAGAUUGCAUAGACAAUAUUGUUGUCGUUAGCUCCACAAUAGCAACAAACCAUAAUUGUGGUGUGAUGAGAUUCACGCUAAAAACAGCAACACAAUGGUAAUACAACCUCAACAAAAUGGUAUUAUGGCCGCAACUAAAACACAAUGCACUAGUUCACCACCACAGUUACUACAAAUCACACCAACAAAGAACAAAAUCACAUGCCCAAUACUCUACUUCCAUUUUGAGACCUCAAUAAUUCCCUUCCAUAUUUCUAAUUUUAUAAAAGAGAUGACUUGAGCUUGCUUAUUGUCAAUGGCAAAGAAGUUGGCUAUUUACUUCAUGGCUUUCCUCUAUAGAGAAAAUGAAGAAAGAAGAAUUGAAUUGACUCAUAGAGAAAAAGAAAGUUGAAUAUGAAUGCUUCAAUGGAAAGAAUGUGGAAAAAACGGGGAUGUGGGAAGAUGAGAUAUGGAAAAAUGCGGAUGUGGAAAAGAUGGUAUAUGUGGACAAAAUGUAGCCAAAUGAAAGGAGGGACUAGGGAGA
RNAcentral lists this long non-coding RNA (770 nucleotides) under Lupinus angustifolius (narrow-leaved blue lupine). Its description in RNAcentral is "long non-coding RNA (LANG_LNC001056)". Lineage: Eukaryota; Viridiplantae; Streptophyta; Magnoliopsida; Fabales; Fabaceae. The record is from RNAcentral.